Molecule: ribosomal RNA, 1232 nt
Filed under: metagenome
Description: bacterial SSU rRNA
Rfam family: Bacterial small subunit ribosomal RNA
Source: RNAcentral
GUGGGGUAACGGCCUACCAAGCCUAUUACGAGUAGCUGGCCUGAGAGGGUGGCCAGCCAGAGGGGGACUGAGACACGGCCCCCACUCCUACGGGAGGCAGCAAUCAGGAAUAGUCGGCAAUGGACGAAAGUCUGACCGCGCGACGCCGCGUGUAGGAAGAAGCUCUUCGGAGCGUAAACUACUGUGGUAAGGGAAGAAGACCUCCGAAUCGGAGGUUUGACGGUACCUUACUAGAAAGGGGCCGCUAACUGCGUGCCAGAAGCGUCGGUAAUACGUGGACCCCAAACAUUAUCCGGUUUUACUGGGUAAAAAGUAGUGUAGGUGUUCUGAUAAGUCUCAAUUUAAAUACUAUGACUCAAUCAUAGGACAGGUUGGGAUACUGACAGAAUAGAAUUUUCUUUAGGGAGACUGGAACUUAGGGAGGAGUAGUGAAAUGCGUUGAUACCCUAGGGAACACUCGUGGCGAAGGCGAGUCUCUGAAAGAAAAUUGACACUGAGACACGAAAGCUAGGGGAGCGAAGCAGAUUAGAGACCUGCGUAGUCCUAGCCUUAAACGCAUGCUUGCUAGCUGCAUUAUUUCGAUUUAUCGAUAUGGUGUGGCGAAGGUAACCCGUUAAGCAAGCCACCUGGGGAGUACGGCCGCAAGGUUGAAACUCAAAGGAAUUGGCGGGGAGGCACACAACCAGUGGAACAUGUGGUUCAAUUCGAAACGAACCGAAGAACCUCACCAAGGUUUGACAUCCAAGCGUCCUAUUUCAUGGAAACAUGGAAAAUUCGUAAGAAGGCUUGGACAGGUGCUGCAUGGCUGUCGUCAGCUCGUUCCGUGAGGAGUGCCCUUAAGUGGGACAACGAGCGCAACCCCCAUCCUGUGUUAAAUAUGUCACAGGAAACUGCCUCGAUAUUCAUCGAGGAGGAAGGAGGGGCAGACGUCAAGUCAGCAUGGUCCUUAUACCUUGGGCUACACACAUGUUACAAUGGACAAUUACAACGGGCUUUGCGAGACCGCAAGGUUAUGCAAAUCCCUUAAAGUUGUCCUCAGUGGGGAUUGAGGUCUGCAACCCGACCUCAUGAACGCGGAAUUGGUAGUAAUCGCAGAUCAGCUAUGCUGCGGUGAAUACGUUCUUGCCUCUUGCACACACCGCCCGUCAAGCCAACAAAGUCGGGAAAAUUUGAACCCUCCGAUUCGGAGGGGAGGAUUUCUCCGGCGAUGGGGGUUAAGUCGUAACAAGGUA